This is a long non-coding RNA of Carassius auratus (goldfish), 300 nucleotides long. RefSeq lists it as uncharacterized. NCBI's taxonomy places the organism in Eukaryota, Metazoa, Chordata, Actinopteri, Cypriniformes, Cyprinidae. The record is from RefSeq and is a predicted model, not a curated record. The transcript has 3 exons.
UGAGUCUGAGUCUGUAAUCUGUGUAGUUUGUGUUUUAUCAGAGGCAGAACGUUCAGUAGUCGAGGGACGAAGACAACAGACUGAGACGAGCCAAAAAGCAUCAAAUGCAUUGCCUCUCUGUAAUGAAAUCAUGUUCAUGUUUGGAGCAGUUGGUCUUGUUUUGUUGAGCUCUGUUACACUGACAGCAGAACUGAUUCUGAAAGCACGGAAUGGUGAGCGUGUCAUGAAGGAUAUGAGAGUCGUUGUCUUCCUUUCUGAAUGUGUUUUUGCUUUGUAUUGGCUGGUUUUACAAAUGCAUGC